UACGAAGGGGCUAGCGUUGCUCGGAAUCACUGGGCGUAAAGCGCACGUAGGCGGACUCUUAAGUCGGUGGUGAAUCCUGGAGCUCAACUCCAGAACUGCCUUCGAUACUGGGAGUCUUGAGUCCGGGAGAGGUGAGUGGAACUGCGAGUGUAGAGGUGAAAUUCGUAGAUAUUCGCAAGAACACCAGUGGCGAAGGCGGCUCACUGGCCGGUACUGACGCUGAGGUGC
This 228-nucleotide ribosomal RNA is filed under the name uncultured bacterium. Its description in RNAcentral is "partial 16S ribosomal RNA". It matches the Rfam family "Bacterial small subunit ribosomal RNA", at positions 524 to 754 of the family's 1533-position model. The record is from RNAcentral.